This 261-nucleotide ribosomal RNA is filed under the name uncultured bacterium. Its description in RNAcentral is "partial 16S ribosomal RNA". It matches the Rfam family "Bacterial small subunit ribosomal RNA", at positions 1136 to 1393 of the family's 1533-position model. The record is from RNAcentral.
GACUCAUAGGAGACUGCCGGGGUCAACUCGGAGGAAGUUGGGGUAUUGACGUCAAGUCAUCAUGCCCCUUAUGUCCAGGGCUUCACGCAUGUUACAAUGGCCGGUACAAAGGGCUGCGAUCCCGUGAGGGGGAGCGAAUCCCAAAAAGCCGGUCUCAGUUCGGAUUGGGGUCUGCAACUCGACCCCAUGAAGUCGGAGUCGCUAGUAAUCGCAGAUCAGCAACGCCGCGGUGAAUACGUUCCCGGGCCUUGUACACACCGC